RNAcentral lists this ribosomal RNA (1321 nucleotides) under Staphylococcus aureus. RNAcentral's name for it is "partial 23S ribosomal RNA". It matches the Rfam family "Bacterial large subunit ribosomal RNA", at positions 87 to 1410 of the family's 2925-position model. Lineage: Bacteria; Bacillati; Bacillota; Bacilli; Caryophanales; Staphylococcaceae. The record is from RNAcentral.
UGUAAGUAAGCUUUGAUCCAGAGAUUUCCGAAUGGGGAAACCCAGCAUGAGUUAUGUCAUGUUAUCGAUAUGUGAAUACAUAGCAUAUCAGAAGGCACACCCGGAGAACUGAAACAUCUUAGUACCCGGAGGAAGAAAAAGAAAAUUCGAUUCCCUUAGUAGCGGCGAGCGAAACGGGAAGAGCCCAAACCAACAAGCUUGCUUGUUGGGGUUGUAGGACACUCUAUACGGAGUUACAAAGGACGACAUUAGACGAAUCAUCUGGAAAGAUGAAUCAAAGAAGGUAAUAAUCCUGUAGUCGAAAAUGUUGUCUCUCUUGAGUGGAUCCUGAGUACGACGGAACACGUGAAAUUCCGUCGGAAUCUGGGAGGACCAUCUCCUAAGGCUAAAUACUCUCUAGUGACCGAUAGUGAACCAGUACCGUGAGGGAAAGGUGAAAAGCACCCCGGAAGGGGAGUGAAAUAGAACCUGAAACCGUGUGCUUACAAGUAGUCAGAGCCCGUUAAUGGGUGAUGGCGUGCCUUUUGUAGAAUGAACCGGCGAGUUACGAUUUGAUGCAAGGUUAAGCAGUAAAUGUGGAGCCGUAGCGAAAGCGAGUCUGAAUAGGGCGUUUAGUAUUUGGUCGUAGACCCGAAACCAGGUGAUCUACCCUUGGUCAGGUUGAAGUUCAGGUAACACUGAAUGGAGGACCGAACCGACUUACGUUGAAAAGUGAGCGGAUGAACUGAGGGUAGCGGAGAAAUUCCAAUCGAACCUGGAGAUAGCUGGUUCUCUCCGAAAUAGCUUUAGGGCUAGCCUCAAGUGAUGAUUAUUGGAGGUAGAGCACUGUUUGGACGAGGGGCCCCUCUCGGGUUACCGAAUUCAGACAAACUCCGAAUGCCAAUUAAUUUAACUUGGGAGUCAGAACAUGGGUGAUAAGGUCCGUGUUCGAAAGGGAAACAGCCCAGACCACCAGCUAAGGUCCCAAAAUAUAUGUUAAGUGGAAAAGGAUGUGGCGUUGCCCAGACAACUAGGAUGUUGGCUUAGAAGCAGCCAUCAUUUAAAGAGUGCGUAAUAGCUCACUAGUCGAGUGACACUGCGCCGAAAAUGUACCGGGGCUAAACAUAUUACCGAAGCUGUGGAUUGUCCUUUGGACAAUGGUAGGAGAGCGUUCUAAGGGCGUUGAAGCAUGAUCGUAAGGACAUGUGGAGCGCUUAGAAGUGAGAAUGCCGGUGUGAGUAGCGAAAGACGGGUGAGAAUCCCGUCCACCGAUUGACUAAGGUUUCCAGAGGAAGGCUCGUCCGCUCUGGGUUAGUCGGGUCCUAAGCUGAGGCCGACAGGC